GGAGAGGUGUCCGAGCGGUCGAAGGUGCACGCUUGGAAAGCGUGUGUGCCAAAAGCACCGGGGGUUCGAAUCCCCCCCUCUCCG
This 84-nucleotide transfer RNA is filed under the name Sphaerochaeta sp. Its description in RNAcentral is "tRNA-Ser". It matches the Rfam family "tRNA". Rfam says of the family: Transfer RNA (tRNA) molecules are approximately 80 nucleotides in length. RNAcentral also lists the same sequence under 1 other name. The record is from RNAcentral. Lineage: Bacteria; Pseudomonadati; Spirochaetota; Spirochaetia; Spirochaetales; Sphaerochaetaceae.